CCAUACACAAGUCUUGAAGAAAUACUCACACCACUCAAUAAGUAUCACACAGUUCUUGUUCGUGGUGAAAUUAAAAAGAAUUUUUUAAUCAAAAUACACAAGAAAAAACUUCCACUUCGAUGUUCAUUAAAUAAUUUAUUUAAGCUGUUUGUAUUCUUAGAAAACACCAAUUAUGAAAUAUAUAGUAAUGGUGACACAUGUGUUUAAAAUUUAGUAAAAAGAAAUUCAUGGUCCUAUCAGGUUGUCUCUUAUUAUGGAUUCUUUUAAGAGAUUUUUUGGAAAUGAUCCCCGUAAAAAUGGAUACACGCAACUUAUUUAUUGUAAUUAUUGCGGAUCUGAUACUCAUUUCGAGAAGAACUGCUCCAAGAAACGCGAUCAAGUGAAUAUUAAUAAAACCUAAUAUAACUUAAAAACAUUAUAUAAGCAAUUAGUAAUAAUAUAAUAUAUUAAAAUUCAUUCCGAAUAAAAAAAUUUUUUUAAUAAAAAAUGUUUACACAAUUUAUA
This is a long non-coding RNA of Drosophila biarmipes, 504 nucleotides long. RefSeq lists it as uncharacterized. The record is from RefSeq and is a predicted model, not a curated record. Lineage: Eukaryota; Metazoa; Arthropoda; Insecta; Diptera; Drosophilidae. The transcript is spliced from 2 exons.